RNAcentral lists this long non-coding RNA (480 nucleotides) under Salmo salar (Atlantic salmon). RNAcentral describes it as "lncRNA (ENSSSAG00000107032.1)". Lineage: Eukaryota; Metazoa; Chordata; Actinopteri; Salmoniformes; Salmonidae. The record is from RNAcentral.
AAAUUAAAAAAAUACCAAAAAUAAUCCUGGAAAACUCUUCUCCACUUUCUCCUCCCUCCUUAAUCCUCCGCCCCUUCCCUCUCUGCAGACGACUUCGUCAACCUCUUUGAAAAGAAGGUUGACGACAUCAUUCACUCAUCCUAUUGAGUCCACUAGUCAAACUCACACAGAACAACCCUACGCCUUGACCUAUUUCUCUCCUCUCUCUCCAGAUGAAAUCCUACAACUGACCAUCUCUGGAGACCUUCUGCCAUUCCUCACUUCCCACUGGCUGCGUCCCCAAUGGCCUGAGACACGAGACCCCUUAAGAAAACAAUACUCAACUCAUCUGACAUCAAAAAAACCAUUGUCUUUAAACCUAACCAAUCAGGCUUCAAGACGGGUCACUCAACCGAGACUGCUAUUCUCUGUCACAGAGGUUCUCCCAAUUGCGAAAAACUGUUCUCAUCCUCCUAGAUCUAUCCGCUGCCUUCAGACACC